Molecule: unclassified non-coding RNA, 520 nt
Filed under: uncultured Glomus
Lineage: Eukaryota; Fungi; Glomeromycota; Glomeromycetes; Glomerales; Glomeraceae
Description: SSU rRNA
Rfam family: Eukaryotic small subunit ribosomal RNA
Source: RNAcentral
AGCAGCCGCGGUAAUUCCAGCUCCAAUAGCGUAUAUUAAAGUUGUUGCAGUUAAAAAGCUCGUAGUUGAAUUUCGGGAUCAGUAUGUUGGUCGUGCUUCGGUACGUACUGUCAUUACUGGUUUCUACCUUCUGAAGAACCUUGAUGUCAUUAAUUUGGUGUCUUGGGGAAUCAGGACUGUUACUUUGAAAAAAUUAGAGUGUUUAAAGCAAGCAUACGCUUGAAUACAUUAGCAUGGAAUAAUGAAAUAGGACGUUUGAUUCUAUUUUGUUGGUUUCUAGGAUCGACGUAAUGAUUAAUAGGGAUAGUUGGGGGGCAUUAGUAUUCAAUUGUCAGAGGUGAAAUUCUUGGAUUUAUUGAAGACUAACUACUGCGAAAGCAUUUGCCAAGGAUGUUUUCAUUAAUCAAGAACGAAAGUUAGGGGAUCGAAGACGAUCAGAUACCGUCGUAGUCUUAACCAUAAACUAUGCCGACUAGGAAUCAGACGAUGUUAAUUUUUUAAUGACUCGUUUGGCACCUUA